RNAcentral lists this unclassified non-coding RNA (298 nucleotides) under fungal sp. RNAcentral's name for it is "partial internal transcribed spacer region". The stretch from base 1 to 46 matches the Rfam family "Eukaryotic small subunit ribosomal RNA", at positions 1786 to 1831 of the family's 1831-position model. The record is from RNAcentral. Lineage: Eukaryota; Fungi.
AAGUCGUAACAAGGUUUCCGUAGGUGAACCUGCGGAAGGAUCAUUAAAAAAUCUCUCAAGGAGCCGCAAGGCUCUAAUAUUUUGUGAAAUGUGUAUAUUGUUACAAGCUCAGGAGGAGGAGGAGGAGUGUAGUAGUAGAAAUCGGUCCAUCGUCAUGGUGGAUGGAUUUCUUCGAAAGACUUGCCUCUUAUUGGGCUGUGAUGAUAUAAAAUAUUAAUACAUAUGAUUUUGAUGUUGAGGAAGUAUUAUAUCAAUUAUAAUAUGUAUACAACUUUCAACAGUGGAUCUCUCGGCUCUU